GCGCGGUUAGCUCAGUUGGUAGAGCAGGAUGUUUACACCAUCAAGGUCAGGGGUUCGAGUCCCUUACCGCGCA
RNAcentral lists this transfer RNA (73 nucleotides) under Candidatus Nomurabacteria bacterium GWB1_40_6. RNAcentral describes it as "tRNA-Val". It matches the Rfam family "tRNA". From Rfam's summary of the family: Transfer RNA (tRNA) molecules are approximately 80 nucleotides in length. Their secondary structure includes four short double-helical elements and three loops (D, anti-codon, and T loops). RNAcentral also lists the same sequence under 1 other name. The record is from RNAcentral. Lineage: Bacteria; Candidatus Nomuraibacteriota.